AAGUGGGAGACCGCAAGGCCUCACGCUCUGGGAGCGGCCGAUGUCGGAUUAGCUAGUUGGUGGGGUAAAAGCCUACCAAGGCGACGAUCCGUAGCGGGUCUGAGAGGAUGAUCCGCCACACUGGGACUGAGACACGGCCCAGACUCCUACGGGAGGCAGCAGUGGGGAAUUUUGGACAAUGGGCGGAAGCCUGAUCCAGCCAUGCCGCGUGAGUGAAGAAGGCCUUCGGGUUGUAAAGCUCUUUCGGUGGGGAAGAAAUUGCACGGGUUAAUACCCUGUGUAGAUGACGGUACCCGACUAAGAAGCACCGGCUAACUACGUG
RNAcentral lists this ribosomal RNA (322 nucleotides) under uncultured bacterium. RNAcentral describes it as "bacterial SSU rRNA". It matches the Rfam family "Bacterial small subunit ribosomal RNA", at positions 202 to 507 of the family's 1533-position model. The record is from RNAcentral.